Hylaeus volcanicus is the source of this 603-nucleotide long non-coding RNA. RefSeq lists it as uncharacterized. NCBI's taxonomy places the organism in Eukaryota, Metazoa, Arthropoda, Insecta, Hymenoptera, Colletidae. The record is from RefSeq and is a predicted model, not a curated record. The transcript is spliced from 4 exons.
GGUUAUGUGUCAAAAUGAUGGACUUAGCUCAACUUGUAGGCGGUUCUUCCCGACCUUCAUAUCGAGGAAGAUACAAGUACAACUGAACAAGCUAAGACCCAUUUGCGUAAUGCUAACGUUUCUUCGACUUUAAACAAGACAGUCGGAGAACCUAAGAAUCCGAAAACUGAGUGAUGUGUAUUUUUAAAGUAUAUUGGCCUGCAUGGCACUUGAACCUAUUUUUAUAAUCAUCUUUUUUUUAUGAAAGGAAAGGUUUCUAUGUUUAUGGUAGUAGUGGCAAUAGUACGCUGUCAAUACGGCGAUCUAAUUGAUUUAAGGGAACAUGAAACGUUUAACGAUAAUUGAUCUCUCAAUCUAUUUAAUACAACGGAUUAAUGCAUUAAAUAAGCUUAUCAUAAUGUUGGGAACAAACGCUUGUAAGGCACGCACUAGUAGUUCGCUUCAUUUGGUUUCGUUUUGCAAAUAUGAAGUGUGGGAAAAACACGCAAUUAGUCAUUGAAAGAUGCUCUACUGUCAUAUUUUUUUCCCAGUAAAAAAACGUGUUUUAAUUCAAUAUAAUAAAGAUAUUGAUAAAUUUUGAUACAAGUUUUAAAAAAUUUUGAA